GUAGAGUUCGUCAUAGAUCUUAUCCCAGGAACAGCUCCAAUCUCCCGGAGACCUUACAAGAUGGCACCCUUAGAACUAGCCGAGCUUAAGAAACAACUCGAUGAGUCCUUGCAAAAGGGUUUCAUCCGUCCUAGUUCUUCUCCUUGGGCUUGCCCCGUCCUCUUCGUCAAGAAGAAGGAUGGUACGGACCGGAUGGUUGUAGAUUAUCGUCCCGUUAAUUUGGUCACGAUAAAGAACAAGUAUCCGCUUCGCAGGAUCAACGACCUGUAUGAUCAGCUCGCUGGAUCCUCAGUCUUCUCCAAGAUGGAUUUAAGGUUAGGCUACCAUCAAAUCAAGAUCAGAAACGGGGACAUUCCCAAGACAGCUUUUGUCACUCGUUAUGGCCAGUACGAGUACACCGUCAUGUCCUUUGGCCUAACCAACGCCCCAGCCACAUUUUCCCGCCUGAUGAACUCGAUUUUCAUGGAGUACUUAGAUAAGUUUGUCGUGGUUUACCUCGAUGAUAUUCUUAUUUACUCGAAGAACGAGGAAGAGCAUGCCGAACAUCUUAGACUUGUGUUAGAAAAACUCAGAGAGCACCGCCUUUAUGCCAAGUUCUCCAAGUGUGAAUUUUGGUUGCCAGAAGUGACCUACCUAGGCCACGUAAUCUCUGGUAAGGGCAUUGCUGUCAAUCCCGAGAGAGUUCAAGCCGUUCUCGAUUGGACUCCACCUGAGACCGUUAAACAAGUUAGGAGUUUCCUUGGUCUAGCCAGCUAUUGUCGCCGCUUUGUUGAAAACUUCUCCAAAGUAGCCAAACCCCUCACGGAACUUCUCAAGAAAGAUAAAAAGUUUGAGUGGUCCCCACAGUGUGAGUACAGUUUUCAGGAACUGAAAAGACGCCUGACUUCUGCUCCCAUACUUGUGCCACCGGAUUUCACUAAAGACUUUAUUAUCUACUGCGAC
This 942-nucleotide ribosomal RNA is filed under the name Triticum aestivum (bread wheat). RNAcentral describes it as "partial small subunit ribosomal RNA". Lineage: Eukaryota; Viridiplantae; Streptophyta; Magnoliopsida; Poales; Poaceae. The record is from RNAcentral.